GCGAGAGACUCACCAAGUCACCUGCUCCUCAGAUCAGAAGGUGAUUGUGGCUUUGACUAGAUACUAAGCAGCCACAGCACUGCCUGGUCAGAAAGAGCAAGUGUACUAGCCUUUU
This 115-nucleotide microRNA precursor is filed under the name Pelodiscus sinensis (Chinese soft-shelled turtle). Its description in RNAcentral is "microRNA 383 (ENSPSIG00000020258.1)". The stretch from base 25 to 97 matches the Rfam family "mir-383 microRNA precursor family". The record is from RNAcentral. Lineage: Eukaryota; Metazoa; Chordata; Testudines; Trionychidae.